UGACAUCGGGGAGGCGAUGACCUCCAGGCGGAACUCGGUCACCAAUCGCCCUGGGUGAGCCAGUGGUGAGACCGGGCCCGUUCACU
RNAcentral lists this non-coding RNA (86 nucleotides) under unclassified sequences. RNAcentral's name for it is "c-di-GMP sequence". It matches the Rfam family "c-di-GMP-II-GAG riboswitch aptamer". The record is from Rfam by way of RNAcentral.